Molecule: non-coding RNA, 138 nt
Organism: Triticum aestivum (bread wheat)
Lineage: Eukaryota; Viridiplantae; Streptophyta; Magnoliopsida; Poales; Poaceae
Source: Rfam
GAUGUACUCCCUCCGUCCGAAAAUACUUGUCAUCAAAAUGGAUGAAAAGGAUGUAUCUAGAACGAAAAUACAUUUAGAUAGUAGAUACAUUUUUUAAUUUUUUUAAUGACAAGUAUUUUUGGACGGAGGGAGUAUAUA